Molecule: ribosomal RNA, 468 nt
Filed under: uncultured bacterium
Lineage: Bacteria
Description: bacterial SSU rRNA
Rfam family: Bacterial small subunit ribosomal RNA
Source: RNAcentral
GAUGAACGCUGGCGGCGUGCCUAACACAUGCAAGUCGAACGGACUUUUCAUGAAGCCUAGCGAUUGAAAAGUUAGUGGCGGACGGGUGAGUAACGCGUGGGUAACCUGCCUUGUACUGGGGGACAACAGUUGGAAACGACUGCUAAUACCGCAUAAGCGCACAGCUUCGCAUGAAGCAGUGUGAAAAACUCCGGUGGUACAAGAUGGACCCGCGUCUGAUUAGCUGGUUGGUGAGGUAACGGCCCACCAAGGCGACGAUCAGUAGCCGGCCUGAGAGGGUGAACGGCCACAUUGGGACUGAGACACGGCCCAAACUCCUACGGGAGGCAGCAGUGGGGAAUAUUGCACAAUGGGGGAAACCCUGAUGCAGCAACGCCGCGUGAGUGAAGAAGUAUUCGGUAUGUAAAGCUCUAUCAGCAGGAAAGAAAAUGAACGGUACCUGACUAAGAAGCCCCGGNUAACUACGUG